Pelobates cultripes (western spadefoot toad) is the source of this 593-nucleotide non-coding RNA. The record is from the annotation of a GenBank genome assembly. NCBI's taxonomy places the organism in Eukaryota, Metazoa, Chordata, Amphibia, Anura, Pelobatidae.
UUUUUUAAUUGGGGUAGCCCCCAAAAUAUUGGGACAUAUAAAAAAGAAACAUUUGCGGCCUGCGGUGCAUUUCUUACAGUCCUGAUGCAUGGAGAAAUGCUCAACUCCUGAUGCAUGGAGAAAAGGCCUUCACAAGCCUCUGCUAAUGGGUACAUAGUUUCUGGGUAUAUACUGUGGCAUUACAAGGGACUGGCUCAACUCCCAUCAAGCCAAGUUCCUGGAGGAGAUCACCCAGCUCGUCAUGCUAGAGCACUUUUUCAAUGUGCUCCCCAACGAGAGGGCGACGACGCAUUCGUAUGUCAAUCCAUAUCAACUUUAGAUUCCAUUGACUGCGCCUACCAUGGUGACCACUGGUAACGGGAAAACAGGGUUCGAUUCUGUACAGGGACCCUGACAAACGGCUACCACAUGCAAGGAAGACAGCAGGAGCCACUCCCAAUGCGGAAAGGUAGUGACGACAAAUAACAAUACAGGACUCUUUAGAGGCCCUGUAAUUGUAAUUAGUCCACUGGAAAUCCUUUAACUCUGAUCAAUUGGAAGGAAGUCUGGUGCAGAGCCACUGACCCGUGUGUGCUGCAGCUGAAACUCCACUA